GAUGAACGCUGGCGGCGUGCCUAAUACAUGCAAGUCGAGCGAACGGACGAGAAGCUUGCUUCUCUGAUGUUAGCGGCGGACGGGUGAGUAACACGUGGAUAACCUACCUAUAAGACUGGGAUAACUUCGGGAAACCGGAGCUAAUACCGGAUAAUAUUUUGAACCGCAUGGUUCAAAAGUGAAAGACGGUCUUGCUGUCACUUAUAGAUGGAUCCGCGCUGCAUUAGCUAGUUGGUAAGGUAACGGCUUACCAAGGCAACGAUGCAUAGCCGACCUGAGAGGGUGAUCGGCCACACUGGAGCUGAGACACGGUCCAGGCUCCGACGGGAGGCAGCAGUAGGGAAGCUUCCGCAAUGGGCGAAAGCCUGACGGAGCAACGCCGCGUGAGUGAUGAAAGUCUUCGGAUCGUAAAACUCUGUUAUUAGGGAAAAACAUAUGUGUAAGUAACUGUGCACAUCUUGACGGUACCUAAUCAGAAAGCCACGGCUAACUACGU
This 496-nucleotide ribosomal RNA is filed under the name uncultured bacterium. RNAcentral's name for it is "partial 16S ribosomal RNA". It matches the Rfam family "Bacterial small subunit ribosomal RNA", at positions 28 to 506 of the family's 1533-position model. The record is from RNAcentral.